AACGAACGCUGGCGGCAUGCCUAACACAUGCAAGUCGAACGAGACCUUCGGGUCUAGUGGCGCACGGGUGCGUAACGCGUGGGAACCUGCCCUUAGGUUCGGAAUAACUCCCCGAAAGGGGUGCUAAUACCGGACAAUGUCUUCGGACCAAAGAUUUAUCGCCUUUGGAUGGGCCCGCGUUGGAUUAGCUAGUUGGUAGGGUAAAAGCUUACCAAGGCGACGAUCCAUAGCUGGUCUGAGAGGAUGAUCAGCCACACUGGACUGAGACACGGCCCAGACUCCUACGGGAGGCAGCAGUGGGGAAUAUUGGACAAUGGGCGAAAGCCUGAUCCAGCAAUGCCGCGUGAGUGAUGAAGGCCUUAGGGUUGUAAAGCUCUUUUACCCGGGAUGAUAAUGACAGUACCGGGAGAAUAAGCUCCGGCUAACUCCGUG
Molecule: ribosomal RNA, 432 nt
Filed under: uncultured bacterium
Lineage: Bacteria
Description: partial 16S ribosomal RNA
Rfam family: Bacterial small subunit ribosomal RNA
Source: RNAcentral